Molecule: ribosomal RNA, 516 nt
Filed under: Dactylellina gephyropaga
Lineage: Eukaryota; Fungi; Ascomycota; Orbiliomycetes; Orbiliales; Orbiliaceae
Description: SSU rRNA
Rfam family: Eukaryotic small subunit ribosomal RNA
Source: RNAcentral
GAUAUUGCCUUGUCUAGGUAUAAGCACUAUACAGUGAAACUGCGAAUGGCUCAUUAAAUCAGUUAUCGUUUAUUUGAUAGUACCUUACUACUUGGAUAACCGUGGUAAUUCUAGAGCUAAUACAUGCUAAAAAUCCCGACCUCCGGAAGGGAUGUAUUUAUUAGAUAAAAAACCAAUGCCCUCGGGCUCCUUGGUGAUUCAUGAUAACUUAACGAAUCGCAUGGCCUUGCGCCGGCGAUGGUUCAUUCAAAUUUCUGCCCUAUCAACUUUCGAUGGUAGGAUAGUGGCCUACCAUGGUUUCAACGGGUAACGGGGAAUUAGGGUUCGAUUCCGGAGAGGGAGCCUGAGAAACGGCUACCACAUCCAAGGAAGGCAGCAGGCGCGCAAAUUACCCAAUCCCGAUACGGGGAGGUAGUGACAAUAAAUACUGAUACAGGGCUCUUUUGGGUCUUGUAAUUGGAAUGAGUACAAUUUAAAUCCCUUAACGAGGAACAAUUGGAGGGCAAGUCUGGGCCC